CAGUAGCCGCGGUAAUACGAAGGGGGCUAGCGUUGCUCGGAAUGACUGGGCGUAAAGGGUGCGUAGGCGGCUAUUUAAGUCAGCGGUGAAAGACUCCGGCUCAACCGGAGCAGUGCCAUUGAUACUGGAUAGCUUGAGUGUUGGAGGGGUACAUGGAAUUGAUGGUGUAGCGGUGAAAUGCAUAGAUACCAUCAGGAACACCGAUAGCGAAGGCAUUGUACUGGCCAACAACUGACGCUGAGGCACGAAAGCAUGGGGAGCGAACAGGAUUAGAGACCCCCGUAGUCCCUGUCUCUUAUAA
Molecule: ribosomal RNA, 301 nt
Filed under: uncultured bacterium
Lineage: Bacteria
Description: partial 16S ribosomal RNA
Rfam family: Bacterial small subunit ribosomal RNA
Source: RNAcentral